Molecule: ribosomal RNA, 460 nt
Filed under: uncultured bacterium
Lineage: Bacteria
Description: partial 16S ribosomal RNA
Rfam family: Bacterial small subunit ribosomal RNA
Source: RNAcentral
CCUACGGGAGGCAGCAGUGAGGAAUAUUGGUCAAUGGGCGGGAGCCUGAACCAGCCAAGUCGCGUGAGGGAAGACGGCCCUAUGGAUUGUAAACCUCUUUAGGCGGGGAGCAAUGCCGGGUACGUGUGCCCGGAGGGAGAGUACCCGAAGAAUAAGCAUCGGCUAACUCCGUGCCAGCAGCCGCGGUAAUACGGAGGAUGCGAGCGUUAUCCGGAUUUAUUGGGUUUAAAGGGUGCGUAGGCGGAUUGUUAAGUCAGCGGUAAAAUGUCCGGGCUCAACCCGGGCCGGCCGUUGAAACUGGUGAUCUUGAGUGGGCGAGAAGUAUGCGGAAUGCGUGGUGUAGCGGUGAAAUGCAUAGAUAUCACGCAGAACUCCGAUUGCGAAGGCAGCAUACCGGCGCCCGACUGACGCUGAGGCACGAAAGCGUGGGGAGCGAACAGGAUUAGAUACCCUGGUAGUC